Molecule: ribosomal RNA, 253 nt
Filed under: uncultured bacterium
Lineage: Bacteria
Description: partial 16S ribosomal RNA
Rfam family: Bacterial small subunit ribosomal RNA
Source: RNAcentral
UACGUAGGGGGCAAGCGUUGUCCGGAUUUAUUGGGCGUAAAGAGCGUGUAGGCGGCCAUACAGGUCAGCUGUGAAAACUCGAGGCUCAACCUCGAGACGUCGGUUGAAACCGUAUGGCUAGAGUCCGGAAGAGGAGAGUGGAAUUCCCGGUGUAGCGGUGAAAUGCGCAGAUAUCGGGAAGAACACCCGUGGCGAAGGCGGCUCUCUGGGCAAUUUCUGACGCUGAUGCACGAAGACUAGGGGAGCAAACGGG